Molecule: long non-coding RNA, 1080 nt
Filed under: Physcomitrium patens
Lineage: Eukaryota; Viridiplantae; Streptophyta; Bryopsida; Funariales; Funariaceae
Description: long non-coding RNA (PPAT_LNC004946)
Source: RNAcentral
UCAAGCGUUUCACGUCGGAUUCACUAAAUAUGUCGUAAUACAUGAAGUCUUGUUUGAGAAUGCUCCAAGUACCUAGUUGUGGAAGAUAGAAUGGAAAUUACAACAAUAAAAUCUUAAUUCUAAUAGAAUACUAAUAAUGCUAAACAAACUUUAAUCAAAUUCAGAAAAACCUUAAAGGAAUUCCAAAGAAAUAAUAAGAAAUCUUAAAGAAAUAUUAAAAUGAUUACAAACAUAUCUCACAUACAACUCAAUUCAAUCUUAAUUUAAUCCCGGUUGAAAUCUUACUUCAUUCAAACUUUAGGCCAAAAAAUAACUAAAUUUUAAAUCCUAAACAAAUUCAAAUCAAAUCCUAAAUCCUAAAUCAAAUCUUGAUCAAACCCUAACCAAACCUUAAAUCUUAAUCAAAUCUUUAAUCCUAAAUCAAAUCCUAAUCAAAUUCUAAAUCUUAAUCCUUAAUCAAAUCUUAAUCAAACUCUAACCCUAAUUCUAAAUCCUAAAUCAAACCCUAACCAAAUCCUAACCCUAAAUCAAAUCCUAAUCUUAAAUCAAACCCUAACCAAACCUUAACCUUAAAUCAAAUCCUACUCAAACCCUAAAUCCUAAACCAAAUCCUAAUCUCAAAUCAAACCUUAACCAAAUCUUAAAUCUAAUCCUAAACCCUAAAUCAAAUCCUAAUCAAAUUCUUAUCCUAAAUCAAAUCCUAACUAAAUCCUAAAUCCUAAAUCAAAUCCUAAUACUAAAUUCAAAUCCUAAUCAAAUCCUAAUCAAACUCUAAUCCUAAAUCAAAUCCUAAACAAAUCCUAAUCCUAAUCUUAAAUCCUAAAUCAAACCCUAACCAAAUCUUAAUCCUAAAUCAAACCCUAAUCAAAUCCUAACCCUAAAUUAAAUCCUAACCAAAUCCUAAUAAUUUCUACAACAAAAUUAAUCCUCAAUAAUUAAUGAAUGAACCAUUGAUCUUAACUCAAAUUUUGAACACUUCUUAAAAUCUAAGUUGAAAACAAGCACAAAUUUUUUAAAAAGGAUCAAAAUUACCAAAUAGAUGAUAAUCUUAAAAACGUGCUCAGGUAUUGUCGGGUUCUC